CACGUAGGGUGCGAGCGUUGUCCGGAAUUAUUGGGCGUAAAGAGCUCGUAGGCGGCUUGUCGCGUCGACUGUGAAAACCCGUGGCUCAACCAUGUGGUCUGCAGUCGAUACGGGCAGGCUAGAAUUCGGUAGGGGAGACUGGAAUUCCUGGUGUAGCGGUGAAAUGCGUAGAUAUCGGGAGGAACACCUGUGGCGAAGGCGGCCCCCUGGUUGGAUACUGACGCUGAUACGCGAAAGCGUGGGGAGCAAACAGG
This 254-nucleotide ribosomal RNA is filed under the name uncultured bacterium. Its description in RNAcentral is "partial 16S ribosomal RNA". It matches the Rfam family "Bacterial small subunit ribosomal RNA", at positions 524 to 776 of the family's 1533-position model. The record is from RNAcentral.